RNAcentral lists this transfer RNA (85 nucleotides) under Candidatus Portnoybacteria bacterium RIFCSPLOWO2_02_FULL_39_11. RNAcentral's name for it is "tRNA-Leu". It matches the Rfam family "tRNA". Rfam says of the family: Transfer RNA (tRNA) molecules are approximately 80 nucleotides in length. Their secondary structure includes four short double-helical elements and three loops (D, anti-codon, and T loops). Lineage: Bacteria; Candidatus Portnoyibacteriota. The record is from RNAcentral.
GCGCGGGUGGCGGAAUUGGUAUACGCGUAUGCUUGAGGUGCAUAUGCCGCAAGGCUUGGAGGUUCAAAUCCUCUCCCGCGCACCG